GGACUGUAGCUCAGUGGCAGAGUGCUUGCCUAGCAUGCAUGAGGCACUGGGUUUGAUCCUCAGCACCA
This 68-nucleotide transfer RNA is filed under the name Marmota monax (woodchuck). RNAcentral describes it as "tRNA.Ala". The stretch from base 5 to 65 matches the Rfam family "tRNA", at positions 6 to 65 of the family's 71-position model. From Rfam's summary of the family: Transfer RNA (tRNA) molecules are approximately 80 nucleotides in length. Their secondary structure includes four short double-helical elements and three loops (D, anti-codon, and T loops). Further hydrogen bonds mediate the characteristic L-shaped molecular structure. tRNAs have two regions of fundamental functional importance: the anti-codon, which is responsible for specific mRNA codon recognition, and the 3' end, to which the tRNAs corresponding amino acid is attached (by aminoacyl-tRNA synthetases). tRNAs cope with the degeneracy of the genetic code in two manners: having more than one tRNA (with a specific anti-codon) for a particular amino acid; and 'wobble' base-pairing, i.e. permitting non-standard base-pairing at the 3rd anti-codon position. Lineage: Eukaryota; Metazoa; Chordata; Mammalia; Rodentia; Sciuridae. The record is from RNAcentral.